UGGGGUAUAGCUCAGUGGUAGAGCAUGUGCUUAAUAUGAAUGAGGCCCUGGGUUCAAGCCCUAGUAACUUUA
This 72-nucleotide transfer RNA is filed under the name Camelus bactrianus (Bactrian camel). It matches the Rfam family "tRNA". Rfam says of the family: Transfer RNA (tRNA) molecules are approximately 80 nucleotides in length. Their secondary structure includes four short double-helical elements and three loops (D, anti-codon, and T loops). RNAcentral also lists the same sequence under 1 other name. Lineage: Eukaryota; Metazoa; Chordata; Mammalia; Artiodactyla; Camelidae. The record is from Rfam by way of RNAcentral.